CCGCCGGCGACCGGCGCACGGGUGAGUAACACGUAUGCAACCUGGCCGUGACAGAUGGAUAACCGGGAGAAAUCCCGCCUAAUACAACAUAAUGCCGGGAGGGGACAUCCCCUGCCGGCCAAAGGGGGCGACCCCGGUCACGGAUGGGCAUGCGGCGCAUUAGGUAGUUGGUGGGUAACGGCCCACCUAACCGACGAUGCGUAGGGGUUCUGAGAGGAAGGUCCCCCACACUGGUACUGAGACACGGACCAGACUCCUACGGAAGGCAGCAG
RNAcentral lists this ribosomal RNA (272 nucleotides) under uncultured bacterium. RNAcentral's name for it is "partial 16S ribosomal RNA". It matches the Rfam family "Bacterial small subunit ribosomal RNA", at positions 85 to 354 of the family's 1533-position model. The record is from RNAcentral.